This 200-nucleotide ribosomal RNA is filed under the name uncultured bacterium. RNAcentral's name for it is "partial 16S ribosomal RNA". It matches the Rfam family "Bacterial small subunit ribosomal RNA", at positions 30 to 233 of the family's 1533-position model. The record is from RNAcentral.
AUUGAACGCUGGCGGCAGGCCUAACACAUGCAAGUCGAGCGCGAAAGUUCUUCGGAAUGAGUAAAGCGGCGGGCGGGUGAGUAAUACAUGGGAAUCUGCCUGGUAGUGGGGGACAACGUUUCGAAAGGAACGCUAAUACCGCAUACGCCCUACGGGGGAAAGGGGGGGAUCGCAAGACCUCUCGCUAUCAGAUGAGCCCA